RNAcentral lists this transfer RNA (76 nucleotides) under Hyphomicrobiales bacterium. RNAcentral's name for it is "tRNA-Ala". It matches the Rfam family "tRNA". From Rfam's summary of the family: Transfer RNA (tRNA) molecules are approximately 80 nucleotides in length. Their secondary structure includes four short double-helical elements and three loops (D, anti-codon, and T loops). The record is from RNAcentral. Lineage: Bacteria; Pseudomonadati; Pseudomonadota; Alphaproteobacteria; Hyphomicrobiales.
GGGGCUGUAGCUCAUUUGGUAGAGCGCUGCAAUCGCACUGCAGAGGUAGUGAGUUCGACUCUCAUCAGCUCCACCA